GACGAACCGUGCGAACGUUGUUCGGAUUCACUGGGCUUAAAGGGCGCGUAGGCGGCUUGCCAAGUCAGGGGUGAAAUCUUUCGGCUCAACCGGAAAAGUGCUUCUGAUACUGGCGGGCUGGAGGAGGGUAGGGGCGGAUGGAACUUCCGGUGGAGCGGUGAAAUGCGUAGAUAUCGGAAGGAACGCCGGUGGCGAAAGCGAUCCGCUGGACCCUUUCUGACGCUGAGGCGCGAAAGCCAGGGGAGCAAACGGG
This 253-nucleotide ribosomal RNA is filed under the name uncultured bacterium. Its description in RNAcentral is "partial 16S ribosomal RNA". It matches the Rfam family "Bacterial small subunit ribosomal RNA", at positions 524 to 776 of the family's 1533-position model. The record is from RNAcentral.